RNAcentral lists this unclassified non-coding RNA (228 nucleotides) under uncultured Ascomycota. RNAcentral's name for it is "sequence contains ITS2". Lineage: Eukaryota; Fungi; Ascomycota. The record is from RNAcentral.
ACGUGCCUCGGGCCUGCCCCUUUUCUUAAGGGGGAGGGCUCGGAUAGUGGACGCUUUGCCGCGUGUCGCGCGGCUCGUCUUGAAAUGAAUUAGAGGUGGGUCCCAAGGGGAUUAAGGUCGGAGGGUAACGGUGUGAUAAGGUCUCGCCGCGACACCCUUACGACUCUGACCCCAUGGCUCGCUUCGGAGUCCCAAAGUCGGACUGUCCCGCUAAGGGGCAACAUUAAC